AUGAGCAUACUGGGCGGUGAUGACCCUGGUAGCUACUUCCUCGAAAUGAAUGCCAAAGACCUGAUUAACCUAGAUGAGGAUGCAGAUUCAUUCAAGUGGUUGUUCAAGACAUUUUUAAGGUGCAUGAGAAGGAAGGCUCCUACAUACAUCCUCACAGGUACAACUGCUAAAACCACCCCCAACCACCACCCCCUUCCAAAAAAGAAAAAUCAGUGCCCGGCCAUGGCUUUGGCGAUCGCAGAUGUUUUCCAGAACACAGUACAUAAGCUAUGCCGCUGGCACAUUAUGAAGAAGUACAGAGUACACCUUGCGUACCUGUAUUUCCUGCACGAGGACUUUAAAGAUGAAUUCACAUCAAUUCUCAACUGGCCCCUCAUGCCAACUGAGUUUGAGGAUGCCUGGAAAAGACUCAUGGAUAAGUACAACCUCCACGACGAUACCACAAUGGUGGGCAUGUGGAAUGAGCGUGAGAAAUGGAUAUCAGCCUACUUCAAAGAAACUUUCUGCGCCAAAAUGACAUCCACACAGCAAAGUGAGAGCAUGAACUAUGUGCUCAAGAAGAACUAUGUAAAUGAGAGACAUACCCUACACCGGUUUGUCAGCCAGAAGGAACAAAACAUGCUGACCUACUAUGGGUUUGACACCCAGAUGGCAAAGCUGUACACACGAGAUAGGCUGAAACUGAGCACACUCUUCACGGCGACAAAGACGAAAGAGCCCACAAAGUACCUAGUGCGCUACAACCACCCGCAAAAACUGUCUGUGUGGGCUCAGCAUGCGUUCCAGGUGGUGGCAGACCCCGUGGGAGAAACAUAUGAGUGCGAGUGCAUGCUAUGGGACCACACAGGUGAGGAGUACAAAAAAGAUAAAAUUAAGGCUGCCAGCAUUCCAGAGAAAUACAUACUCAGGAGAUACACCAAACGCCCGAACAUCCAGCCAACAUUUGAUAGAAAUGACUUGAGGACAGUAGCAUCAAACAAGGCAUCCCAAUACUGCAUUGAAAGCUCACUGCUAACGUUGAACAUGAGGGUGCACAGAAAAAGCUUGAGAAGCCAAUACCAAAUGGCAAGGUCGCGGGUCGUCAUGGACCAACUUGAACAAGAACUCGACGCCAUGCAUUCUGCUGAAAAUGGAGGUGUCGCGGACAAUGAAGCCAUUGAGCAGGAUAUUGCUACAAUGUUAUCUAAGAUGAACCAUCUGGGAUCUAUUGACCCAUUUGAGAACGAGGAAGAAGAGCAGCAGCAACCGAAGCUUGCCCAUGUGCACACUCAAGAGCGCCGACAAACUCACAUGGGAGAUCUUGAGCUUGAUGGUGCUGUAGGUGAACGACAUGACAAUAGCACAUCCUACCAGCAGCAGCAGGAAAGGGUGAUUAAACCCCCAAUAUUCUCAAACACAAAGGGGAGGAAGAGCAACACGCAAGCAGCAAAAGCUGUGAAAGCAGCAGCCAAAAAGCCACCACGCCCCAUCAAGCGCGUGGAAUUUGGCCCGGACGGCAAACCCCUUGGGAUAAGGGCAUGCGGUUUCUACAACGUCGUGAGCAACCAUAACUACCGCACAUGCCCACUCCGCACAGAUGCCACUGUCAACAAGAACAAGCAGAUUGGAGCCACCCAGCUUUCUACCAAUGGAGACAACACACAUAACAGCUACACUUGCCGCAAGUGUGGCGGAACUGACGGACAUAAUGCCCGCAUGUGA
RNAcentral lists this ribosomal RNA (1701 nucleotides) under Triticum aestivum (bread wheat). RNAcentral's name for it is "partial small subunit ribosomal RNA". Lineage: Eukaryota; Viridiplantae; Streptophyta; Magnoliopsida; Poales; Poaceae. The record is from RNAcentral.